GAUGAACGCUGGCGGCGUGCCUAAUACAUGCAAGUCGAGCGCUGAAGGUUGGUACUUGUACCGAUUGGAUGAGCAGCGAACGGGUGAGUAACGCGUGGGUAACCUGCCUUUGAGCGGGGGAUAACAUUUGGAAACGAAUGCUAAUACCGCAUAAAAACUUUAAACACAAGUUUUAAGUUUGAAAGAUGCAAUUGCUUCACUCAAAGAUGAUCCCGCGUUGUAUUAGGUAGUUGGCGAGGGAAAGGCUCAUCAAGGCGAUGAUACAUAGCCGACCUGGGAGGGUGAUACGCCUCCAUGGGAAUGAGACACGGGCCAAACUCCUACGGGGGGCGGCGGUAGGGAGUAUUCGGGAAUAGAGGAGAGUCUGACCGAGCGACGCCGCGUGAGUGAAUAAAGGGUUCGGGUCGUGAAAAGCUGUUGAUAGAGAAGGACGUUGGUGGGAGUGAACAGCUCACCAAUUGACGGUAACUAACCAGAAAAGGACGGCUAACUACGUG
RNAcentral lists this ribosomal RNA (497 nucleotides) under uncultured bacterium. RNAcentral describes it as "partial 16S ribosomal RNA". It matches the Rfam family "Bacterial small subunit ribosomal RNA", at positions 28 to 507 of the family's 1533-position model. The record is from RNAcentral.